Molecule: non-coding RNA, 30 nt
Filed under: Homo sapiens (human)
Lineage: Eukaryota; Metazoa; Chordata; Mammalia; Primates; Hominidae
Source: RNAcentral
UUCAUGCCACCUGGAAAGGGUUUCUCCUUC